This 199-nucleotide ribosomal RNA is filed under the name uncultured bacterium. Its description in RNAcentral is "partial 16S ribosomal RNA". It matches the Rfam family "Bacterial small subunit ribosomal RNA", at positions 328 to 539 of the family's 1533-position model. The record is from RNAcentral.
ACGCUCGACACCUACUGGAGGCAGCAGUGGGGAAUAUUGCACAAUGGGGGAAACCCUGAUGCAGCGACGCCGCGUGAGCGAAGAAGUAUUUCGGUAUGUAAAGCUCUAUCAGCAGGGAAGAAGAAAGACGGUACCUGACUAAGAAGCCCCGGCUAACUACGUGCCAGCAGCCGCGGUAAUCUGAGCGGGCUGGCAAGGC